RNAcentral lists this ribosomal RNA (373 nucleotides) under uncultured bacterium. Its description in RNAcentral is "bacterial SSU rRNA". It matches the Rfam family "Bacterial small subunit ribosomal RNA", at positions 30 to 409 of the family's 1533-position model. The record is from RNAcentral.
AUUGAACGCUGGCGGCAGGCUUAACACAUGCAAGUCGAGCGGAGACUUCGGUCUUAGCGGCGAACGGGUGAGUAAUACCUAGGAAUCUGCCUAUUAGUGGGGGAUAACGAAUCGAAAGGUUCGCUAAUACCGCAUACGUCCUACGGGAGAAAGGGGGGAGUCUUCGGACCUCUCGCUAAUAGAUGAGCCUAGGCCGGAUUAGCUAGUUGGUAGGGUAAAGGACCUACCAAAGGCGGACGAUCUGUAGCUGGUCUGAGAGGAUGGCCAGCCACACUGGAACUGAGACACGGUCCAGACUCCUACGGGAGGCAGCAGUGGGGAAGUAAUUGGACAAUGGGGGCGAACCCUGAUCCAGCCAUGCCGCGUGUGUGAA